RNAcentral lists this ribosomal RNA (449 nucleotides) under uncultured bacterium. RNAcentral's name for it is "partial 16S ribosomal RNA". It matches the Rfam family "Bacterial small subunit ribosomal RNA", at positions 28 to 523 of the family's 1533-position model. The record is from RNAcentral.
GAAGAACGCUGGCGGCAGGCCUAACACAUGCAAGUCGAACGAAGUCUUCGGACUUAGUGGCGGACGGGUGAGUAACACGUGGGAACGUGCCUUUAGGUUCGGAAUAACUCAGGGAAACUUGUGCUAAUACCGAAUGUGCCCUUCGGGGGAAAGAUUUAUCGCCUUUAGAGCGGCCCGCGUCUGAUUAGCUAGUUGGUGAGGUAAAGGCUCACCAAGGCUACGAUCAGUAGCUGGUCUGAGAGGAUGACCAGCCACAUUGGGACUGAGACACGGCCCAAACUCCUACGGGAGGCAGCAGUGGGGAAUCUUGCGCAAUGGGCGAAAGCCUGACGCAGCCAUGCCGCGUGGAUGAUGAAGGUCUUAGGAUUGUAAAAUCCUUUCACCGGUGAAGAUAAUGACUGUAGCCGGAGAAGAAGCCCCGGCUAACUUCGUGCCAGCCGCCGCGGUAA